GACGAACGCUGGCGGCGUGCCUAAUACAUGCAAGUCGAACGCACAGUUUAUACCGUAGCUUGCUACACCAUAGACUGUGAGUUGCGAACGGGUGAGUAACGCGUAGGUAACCUGCCUGGUAGCGGGGGAUAACUAUUGGAAACGAUAGCUAAUACCGCAUAAUAUUAAUUAUUGCAUGAUAAUUAAUUGAAAGGUGCAAUUGCACCACUACCAGAUGGACCUGCGUUGUAUUAGCUAGUAGGUGAGGUAACGGCUCACCUAGGCGACGAUACAUAGCCGACCUGAGAGGGUGAUCGGCCACACUGGGACUGAGACACGGCCCAGACUCCUACGGGAGGCAGCAGUAGGGAAUCUUCGGCAAUGGACGAAAGUCUGACCGAGCAACGCCGCGUGAGUGAAGAAGGUUUUCGGAUCGUAAAGCUCUGUUGUAAGAGAAGAACGGGUGUGAGAGUGGAAAGUUCACACUGUGACGGUAUCUUACCAGAAAGGGGCGGCUAACUACGUG
RNAcentral lists this ribosomal RNA (505 nucleotides) under uncultured bacterium. RNAcentral's name for it is "partial 16S ribosomal RNA". It matches the Rfam family "Bacterial small subunit ribosomal RNA", at positions 28 to 507 of the family's 1533-position model. The record is from RNAcentral.